UCCCAUCCAAGGCUAAAAUAACGUGAGGAGACCGAUAGAUUACAAGUAGUGUGAACGAAAGAUGAAAAGAACUCUAAAACAGAGGGUGAAAAGUUCCUGAACUUGCUUAGGGUUAAGGCUAUUUAUAGUACCCGUCUUGAAACACGGAUUAGGGAGUUUAUCUGUAGUGCGAGUCUUUGCACGUUAACUGUAAAGGCGUAGAGAAAGCAACUGGCGUUUGCAUGGCUACUGAGCAUUACUGAUAGGACCCGAAAGGUGGUGAACUUUGCCUGCACAGGUUGAAGUCAGGGGAAACUCUGAUGGAGGACCGUACGGGUUAUUGAUGUGCAAAUCAUUUUUCUGAUGUAGGUAAAGGUGCGAAAGACUCAUCGAACCACCUAAUAGCUGGUUUCCUCCGAAGUUUCCCUCAGGAUAGCUGUAAUGCAUUUAGUUAAGGGGAGUAGAGAUAUGGGUAGAGGUGCAGGGAGCCUUCGGGUUCUCAACUUAUUUCCAAACUUCGAACCUCCUUGUUAGGCAUUUACCUAACUGGAAAUGCUUAAAUGAAUUAGCGUUACAAGUGGGCUCUGACCGGUAAGCGGUCAUGGCGAAAUGGGAUGAACCAUACGUCUGAAUAAGGUGCCGAAAUGUACUAUCACUGAUACCAUAAAGGGAGUCCAUGUAUUUAGACAGCAGGUCGGUGCCCCUAAAAGCAGGUAUCCGCUAAAGAGUGUGUUAAAACUCACCUGCCGAAUACUAGGGCCCCGAAAAUGAAUGGCGCAUAUAGUACUACCGAUCUCAGACAUCAGUUCUAUUGAACUGAGAGUAGGGGGAUGUGGACAUUUUUGUGAAGGUGCAAUGUGAGUUGGACUGGAAGAAUGUCUAUUACAGAUCCUAAUUGAAGUAGCGAUUAUCCAGGCUUGUAUCCUGGGGGCUGAUGAGGAGUAGGGUUUCUGGACAACUUAAACAGAUCCAGAGUUAGUCGAUCCUAAUCUCAAUGAUGGGAGAAAGGGAGUACAGUUGAUAUUCUGUAACUGACAACAGUUCGCGGCAACG
Molecule: non-coding RNA, 1032 nt
Filed under: Trichomonas vaginalis G3
Lineage: Eukaryota; Parabasalia; Trichomonadida; Trichomonadidae
Description: Eukaryotic large subunit ribosomal RNA
Rfam family: Eukaryotic large subunit ribosomal RNA
Source: Rfam by way of RNAcentral